UGUUUGAUUUAAACCCAUAGGGCCUUCUUCUG
RNAcentral lists this non-coding RNA (32 nucleotides) under Mus musculus (house mouse). Lineage: Eukaryota; Metazoa; Chordata; Mammalia; Rodentia; Muridae. The record is from RNAcentral.